CCGAGCCGCCCCUCCCCCCGGCGGCCUCGUCCCCUCAGCGCGGGCGGGCGGGCGGGCGGCCAGCGCUUCCCCUCCGGCAGGGCCCGUGCCCGCGGAUCGUGUGUGACUAAAACAACAUCAGGCAGGGACGUGUGUCGUCACCCGCUGCGACGUUGUGAUCGCGGUGUGGUUUUGACGGCCAAAAAAACCACCACCCUCUUGGCAGCGAUCUCUGGAGGUUUUCAUCCCGUGCUUUGGGUGCUGCCAGGCAGCCCGUUUUCACAGGGAGUUUGUUCUAUAAGGCCGCAUUUCUGAUCUGGGCACACGGUUAUAUGACAAUAUCACUUUUCCUAUUCUUCAAAAGGAUGUUCGUUUUUUAAAAGCAAGAAACAAUGCUUCAUCUGUACGCUGCCUUGCUUUGAUUCACCUUUGUACAGUCAGAAGACAUCUUUUUGCUCCAGUCACACACGCCUCUGUCAAAGAGAAGCACACAGCCACCAGCUCUGUCAGGCACAGCAUGUGUGACACAUGUCCAGCAAAGCAGCAGAAAUUAUUUAGCAAAGCUACAGCUUUAGUUUUAUGAGGUACGUAGCAACACACCACAGGUCAAACUGGGCCAAGUUGCCUCCCUGCAUAUUUUAUGUUAAUUGUUGUGGAAAACACCACUGUAAAAGUGCUUUGGAAAAACAGUCAUUGCACAGCACUGACUCAACAUGUGCAACCCUAACUCAGCCUCAUCACAACCACCAUGAUCCUCCAGAAGCACAAAAAGCUUCUGAAGGUAAUGUUAUUUAUAUGUAUCCUGCUCACCAUAUGCAUCUCUCAAAUUUUCUCAGUGUCUGUCAGACUUCAGUCAGCAGGAUUAAUGUCUCCAGCUGAAUCACUACUGGAUUACUUCCCUUUGAUCUCGUCAGGGUUUCGCAAACUUGCCAGUAGUAGCACUUUGUGACUUAACCUUUGUACAGGCUACUGAAAACCAUAGAUGUGUGAAAAAAGACUGCAAAGUUUAUACACAGUAAGGAAUUGUGAGUCAGAGAUUAGUUUUCAAUUACUGUUUUAUUCCCAUGAUUGAAGACACAGUCAGGAUUUUGUAAUUCAUUAUUUUGGCUGCAGAAUGUGGUAAUGGGCAAGGGAAUGUAUUUUAAUUGCUAGGAAACUACUUAAUCUGCCUUCUAUUUUGAGGAUUAAAUUUAAAGCAGAGGGAGUGCGGGUUUGUGAUUCAUUGGCUGCUGUUGUUUGUUGCACAGAAAGAAUUACUCUUCCUUGGAACGGGUAGAUGAAACAGGAAUAUCCCCUUGGUAAAUUGCGGUAGCGAAGGGUGUAGAGGAAGCUAAUCCAUUUUAUCCCCAGUUUUGUUUAGGAUAAGAGAAAUUAGUUUUCUUUGCUUUCCUUCCAUUUCUGAACAUCUUCGACCUUAUGAAGAGGGACAGGAUGAAGGAAGGUUCCUGCACAUUCAGUAGGUGUAGCUGGCAGUGAAAAGUGACUGUGUGGCAGCUGUGUCAGUCUUCCCAGACACAACAUACUGCCCUCUGCAAGCCAAACUGUUAAUCUGAAAAAGAAACAAAAAGGAGGGGACAACAGUUAGCUUGGAGUAAGAAAGGCAGAUGUAGAAAGACAGCACAAGUAACCAAGCAAGGCAAAAAGAGUAGCACCCCCAGUGAACAUCAAGCACCAGGAGAUGUGGGAACAAGAGGAACCUUAGGAAGGAGACAACUUGUCUCACUUCAUGGUAAGCAGCUCCUCUCUGCACUGGGGGGAAGGCUUGUACCUGUGCCCGCUUGCGGAAGGCCUCCUGUGCAGCCUUCUUGUUCUCACUUUUGCCCACCCAUGCUGCCAGGGCAGAGGCUUGCAGGGCUCUUCCGUAUGAAAACGUCAGUUUCCAAGGCUUGGGCAGAGGGGACUGAUUCAUGGCGUUCAGGUUGACAGAAGCCUCCUCUUCACUCUGACCUCCAGACAGGAAGCAGAUUCCUGUAAGUAAGAGGUUUUGAGGCUUAGAAACAGAGUGCUCCAGCCACCGCAGUCCCUGACAUUUAAGUGCCAGAGGAGCAAGUGUGUCAAAGCCAGCAAGAGUGACAGCAUGAAUGGAUACAGAGGAAUGAACUGGGAAUCACCGGGAACAGCAGCAGGAACGGUGCGGAGAAGAGUCGUGACAGUUGCUACGGCCACAUCCUGCGGGGUGUACUUCUUGGUGCAGGAAUGCCCAGCUGUCACCAUAUUAGGUUUCAGCAGUGUCCCUUCCAGGUACACAUGAUGGUCAUUCAAAGCCUUGUAGACAGCAGCCAGAACCUGGAAACGGGAAGAUUGAAUACAGACCUCUGCUUAAAUUUUCAUCUCAUCUUCCUGUGGAAAGCCAGUUCAUUCCUUAGGAGUGCAAGAUGAAUUGAAUAUUUGAACUUUGAAGAAAAGAAAUUGAACUUUGCUUUCUCAUGAACUUAUGACAGGUUGCAGCCUUGGAGACACCACUGCUUUUGAGAUGACUGGGAUACCACUCUUCCUAUUUAUUGGAUUUGUCUCUGCAAACUGAGUUGCUGAAAGAGGGGUGUUUUUGCACUCAAUCCAUCUGAGAUUCAGAAUGCUUAUAAUGGCAGCUUUCGUGGAAAUCCAAAAGCAUGGAUUCUACUCUUGCUUUUCCUAUUUUCUCAUAAUUUGACUGUGAGCAACUAGUUUUUGUGAUCCAGUUAUGAAGUACCUUUUUGAUCAAAAGUCUUUUGAUAUCUGUGAACACAAAGUCUGCAUAGAUUAGCUACUGAUUUGAGAAAGGAAGGAGAGGAGCAGGAAUCUCUUACCUUUUCUGUGACAUACUGGCAGCGCUGGAGAUCAUGAUCUCCAUCAGGCAAGAUCUCUGGCUCCACAAUGGGCACCAAGCCAUUCUAAGAAAAGAAAAACAGAGGAGCUUUUGGGACUGUGGAAGAAAAACUGUCCUUGUUUUCUACCCUGACUUUGUUGGUACUCCUCCUUUUGAUGCUGCCCUCCUUCCUUGUCUUUCCCAAAAUCCUCACAAAGAUCCGCUUUUCAAGUUACCUAGAAUGUUAUCACAGGGAACAGUGACAGGGGCAACAGCACGUCAGGAGAGAUAACUGGAGGUUACAUACCUGCUGGCAGAUGCUGGCAUAGCGUGCCAAUGCAUUGGCAUUCUCUUGGAUGGCGAGUUGAGAGGGUGUUGUGCUGGUGAUUUUCAGCACUGCACGCCACUUGCCAAAGUCAGCACCAUCUUUUUUGUACUGGGCACACCGCUCAG
Columba livia (rock pigeon) is the source of this 3217-nucleotide long non-coding RNA. RefSeq lists it as uncharacterized. The record is from RefSeq and is a predicted model, not a curated record. NCBI's taxonomy places the organism in Eukaryota, Metazoa, Chordata, Aves, Columbiformes, Columbidae. The transcript is spliced from 2 exons.